Molecule: ribosomal RNA, 3608 nt
Filed under: Durio zibethinus
Lineage: Eukaryota; Viridiplantae; Streptophyta; Magnoliopsida; Malvales; Malvaceae
Description: eukaryotic LSU rRNA
Rfam family: Eukaryotic large subunit ribosomal RNA (bases 391-3608)
Source: RNAcentral
ACAACUCUCAGCAAUGGAUAUCUCAACUCUCGUAUCGAUGAAGAAUGUACUAAAAUGCGAUACAUGGUGUGACUUGUAGAAUCCCGUGAACCAUUGAGUCUUUGAAUGCAAGUUGUGCUGCAAGCUAUUAGGCUGAGGGCAUGCCUGCUUGGGUGUCAUGCACUGUUUCCCCCUCUAAACCCCUACCCAUUAAACUCUACAGUAAGUGGCUGAAAAUUGCCCCUCAUGAUCUCAUCAAUCUUGGUGGGGCUAAAAGCAAGUUGCCAGCAAUGAUAGCAUCGUGAUCAUUAAUAGUAAAGCUUUUGGCAUUCCUUAACUCUGGUGACACAUGCUCGUUGUCCAUUUAGACCCCAUUGGACCCUUCACAUCACUUGAUUGAUGCUAGCAUCAUGAUCCCAAGUCAAGUAGGAUUACUUGAUGAAUUUAAGCAUAUCAAUAUGCAAAGAAAAAUAAACUUACCAAGAUUCCCCUUAGUAACAACAAGCAAACCAAAAAAAGCCCAACUUGAGAAUUGGGUGCCCACGGUGUCUAAAUUGUAGUUUACAGAAGUGUCCUCAGUGGUGGACCAGGCCUAAGUCCCCAGGAAAAGGGAGCCAGAGAGGCUGAGAGCCCUGUUGUGCCUAGACCCUAUCACACUAUGAGGCACUAUUUACAAGUCGGGUUAUUUGGGUAUGUAGCCCUGAUAGGGCAGUAAAUUCCAUUAAAGGUUGAAUAUGGGUGAAAAACUGAUAGAGAACAAGUAUCAUGAGGGAAAGAUGAAAAAGACUUUGAAAGGAGAGUCAAAGAGUUCUUGAAAUUAUCAAGAAAGAAGUGAAAUGGGGGCCGAUGAUGCAUCUUGGUUAAAUGUGGACCAGCAAUAGUUGAUUCCGUCGAUUAGCUAGGGCUGGACCAUUAUGGGUCAUGGCGGUGGCUCGAACCCAAGCUUUCAAUAUGCCUAUGGAAACAUCGUUACCAUGAUUAUAAAAUGUAGCACAUGCCAUCUCAACAUGCCUUGAUGCUCACGUGCUCUUGACAUAGGCCUGUAGGUACCUCAUCUGGCCCAUCUUGAAACAUGGACCAAAGAGUCUAACAUGUUUGUGAGUCAAUGGGGUAGAAAACCUAUAAGACACAAGGAAGCUAAUUGGUGGGAUCCUUCACAAGUGAGCUACUGAUCGACCUUGAUCUUCUGAGAAAGGUUUGAGUGUAAGCAUGCAUGUAAAGACCUAAAAGAUAAGGAACUAUGCUUGAGUGGGACAAAGCCAAAGGAAACUAUAGUGGAGGCCCAUAAUGAUACUAGCAUGUAAAUUGUUCAUCUAACUUGGGUAUAAGGGUGAAAGACUAAUCAAACUAUUUAAUAGUUGGUUCCCUUUAAAGUUUUCCUCAAGAUAGUUAGAGCCUUUAGUGAAUUCCAUCAGGUAAAGCUAAUGAUUACAGGCAUCGAGGCCGUAACACCCUCGACCUAUUCUUAAACUUUAAAUAGGUAGGAUGGUGCGGCUUUAUUAAGCCAUGCCACGAAAUUGAGAGCUCCAAGUGGGCCAUUUUUGGUAAGCAAAACUGGUGAUGCAGGAUGAACCAGAAGCCAAGUUAUAGUGCCCAACUUUGCACUAACCUAGAACCCAUAAAGUGUGUUGGUCGAUUAAGAUAGCAGAACAGUGGUCAUGGAAGUUGAAAUUUGCUAAAAAGUGUGUAACAACUCACCUACCGAGUCAACUGGCCCUGAAAAUGAAUGACGCUUAAGCACACAACCUAUACUCGACUAUUAGGGCAAGGGCCAAGCCCCAAUGAGUAAGAAGGCACAUGGUCAUUACAAAACCUAAGGCACGAGCUUGGGUCGAGUAGCCAUCAGUGUAGAUCUUGGCAUUAGUAGUAAAUAUUCAAAUGAAGACUUUGAAGGCCAAAGAGAGGAAUGGUUCCAUGUGAAUGGCACUUGCAUAUGGGUUAGUUGAUCCUAAGAGAUGGGGAAAAAUAGUCUAAUAGUGCAUCUAGCAUAAGCUUUGAAAGGAAUAAGGUUAAAAUUCUUGAACCAAGAUGCAGCGAUUGAUGGCAACGUUAGAGAAUCUAAAGACAUUGGUUGGGUCCUCAAAAAGAGUUAUCUUUUUUAUUUCAUGGCUUCCCCACCUUGGAAAUGACUCAAUUGUAGGUAGGGUUUGGUAGCCAAGUGAGCAACAUAUGUUGCUUAGUGUCUAGUGCACCCCUGACAACCCUUCAAAAUUUGGAGCAUCGAGUGCCAUCCAUGUCCGAUCAUACUCAUAACCACAUCAAGUCUCCAAGGUAAACAACCAUUGGUCAAUGGAACAAUGUAUGCACAGGAAGUCAGGAAAAUGGAUUCAUAACCUCAAGAAAAGGAUUAGCUCUAAGGACUGUGCAUGGGGGUCCUAUUCCUAAACCCUUCGACUAUCAAUGCACUAUUGAGCUACUCCUAUGGCAAGAGCAAGUCACCAUAUGUCGGUCGAGAGCCUUCCCCAAACAAUGAAUAGUCAACUUUGAACUAGUACGGACUAAGGGAAUCUGACUAUUUAAUUAAAACAAAACAUUACGAUAGUCCCUACAAAUGCUUACAUAAUAUGAUUUUUGCCCAGUGCUUUGAAUGUCUAAGUGAAAAAAUUCAACCAAGCAUAGGUAAACAGCGGGAGUAACUAUGACUCUCUUAAGGUAGCCAAAUGCCUUGUCAUCUAAUUAUUAAUGCACAUGAAAGGAUUAAUGAGAUUCCCACUAUCUCUGUUUACUAUCUAGUGAAACUACACCCAAGGGAAUGGGUUUGGCAGAAUUAGUGAGGAAAAAAGACCCAAUUGAGUUUGACUCUAGUCUGACUUUGUGAAAUGACUUGAGAGGUGUAGGAUAAGUGGGAGCCUUCGGGGUGAAAUUGAAAUACCACUACUUUUAAUGCUACUUUACUUAUUCUGUAAAUCAAAGGUAGGGCAUGACCCCUUCUUUUAAACCCAAAGCCAACCUCGAUCAGUCAAUCUAGGUGAAAAACAUUAUCAAGUAGGGAGAUUGGCUGGUGUGACACAUCUAUUAAAAGAUAAUGCAAGUGUCCUAAGAUAAGCUCAAUGACAAUAGAAAUCUCAUGUAGAACAAAAGGGUAAAAGCUCAUUUGAUUUUAAUUUCUAGUACAAAUACAAACUAUGAAAGCAUGGCCUAUCGAUCCUUUAGACCAUCAGAAUUUGAAGCUAGAGGUGUUAGAAACCACAUGGAUAAUUGGCUUGUGGCAGCCAAGCAUUCAUAGUGACUUUGCUUCUUGAUCCUUCAAUGUCAGCUUUUUCGAUCAUUAUGAAGCAAAAUUCACCAAGUGUUGGAUUGUUCACCAACCACUGGGAAUGUAAACUAGGUUUAGACUAUCAUAAGAUAGGCUAGAUUUAUCUUACUGAUUGCAGUGUUGCAAUAGUAAUUUAACCUAGUAUGAAAACAAUCAUUGAUUUGUACAAUAAGUCAUCGCACUUGGUUGAAAAGCCAAAGGCACAAAGCUACCGUGUGCUAGAUUAUAACCAAAUGCCUUCCAGGAAAAAUCUAGGCUUGCAAUGAUGCAUGUGCUUGUCACCCAAAUGUUGACCCACAGUAGGGGCCAAUGCCCUCAAGGGCAUGUGUCCUAGGUGUAGCCCUCAUAGCGAACAACCACACUAGCCUCCUUA